This 71-nucleotide non-coding RNA is filed under the name Schistosoma mansoni. Lineage: Eukaryota; Metazoa; Platyhelminthes; Trematoda; Strigeidida; Schistosomatidae. The record is from RNAcentral.
UUAGUAACUCCGCCUAUAGCUCCUCCGGAGUCUACUGGCGGUCCCAAGCCCGCGUAAAGGAGGAGGGUUGG